Non-coding RNA from Gossypium hirsutum (cotton), 107 nucleotides. The record is from Rfam. Lineage: Eukaryota; Viridiplantae; Streptophyta; Magnoliopsida; Malvales; Malvaceae.
AGUUCAUGAUGAGGACAUCUUCUCAAAAAAUCCUUAAAGCUAUCCCAUGUAUCAUAAAGUGUUUUAAUGUCAAAUUGAACAAAACAAGAGAUGUCAUUCCUUAACUU